GCACGUGAUGAUUUUCAUUAUGGAAUCUCGUUCGUCUGAACUCCUGUUGAGACAAAUUUAAAUCUGAUGCUU
The sequence is a small nucleolar RNA, 72 nucleotides long. Its record names the gene SNORD30. It matches the Rfam family "Small nucleolar RNA SNORD30". From Rfam's summary of the family: U30 is a member of the C/D class of snoRNA which contain the C (UGAUGA) and D (CUGA) box motifs. U30 is encoded within the U22 snoRNA host gene (UHG) in mammals and is thought to act as a 2'-O-ribose methylation guide for ribosomal RNA. The record is from Ensembl.